This 207-nucleotide ribosomal RNA is filed under the name uncultured bacterium. RNAcentral describes it as "partial 16S ribosomal RNA". It matches the Rfam family "Bacterial small subunit ribosomal RNA", at positions 568 to 774 of the family's 1533-position model. The record is from RNAcentral.
AUCGUAGGCGGUCUUUCAAGUCAGAUGUGAAAUCCCAGGGCUCAACCUUGGAAUUGCAUUUGAAACUGGGAGACUAGAAUCAUGGAGAGGAUGGCGGAAUUGCCAGUGUAGAGGUGGAAUUCGUAGAUAUUGGCAGGAACACCAGAAGAGAAGUCGGCUAUCUGGCCAUUGAUUGACGCUGAGGGUCGAAAGCGUGGGGAGCAAACA